RNAcentral lists this ribosomal RNA (419 nucleotides) under Lophotus lacepede (crested oarfish). RNAcentral's name for it is "partial 16S ribosomal RNA". It matches the Rfam family "Bacterial large subunit ribosomal RNA", at positions 2042 to 2613 of the family's 2925-position model. The record is from RNAcentral. Lineage: Eukaryota; Metazoa; Chordata; Actinopteri; Lampriformes; Lophotidae.
CUGAUCUCCCCGUGCAGAAGCGGGGAUGAACACACAAGACGAGAAGACCCUGUGGAGCUUUAGACCUCUGGAGUAUACCCCUUUUCCCUCAUAUAAAGUUUGGAAACUCUGGGUGUACCCUCCCAAGACUGUCUUUGGUUGGGGCGACCGCGGAGAGAACACUACCCCCCGCGUGGAUGAAGUGAACAACUUUUUAACCUAGAGCUACACCUCUAAGUGUCAGAAUAUAUGGCCUUGAAUGAUCCGACUAUUCGAUCAACGGAACAAGUUACCCCAGGGAUAACAGCGCAAUCCUCUUUCAGAGCCCCUAUCGACAAGAGGGUUUACGACCUCGAUGUUGGAUCAGGACAUCCUAAUGGUGUAGCCGCUAUUAAGGGUUCGUUUGUUCAACGAUUAAAGUCCUACGUGAUCUGAGUUCA